This 361-nucleotide ribosomal RNA is filed under the name uncultured bacterium. Its description in RNAcentral is "bacterial SSU rRNA". It matches the Rfam family "Bacterial small subunit ribosomal RNA", at positions 8 to 334 of the family's 1533-position model. The record is from RNAcentral.
AGGGUUGAUCCUGGCUCAGGAUAAACGCUGGCGGCGCACAUAAGACAUGCAAGUCGAACGGAAGUUGUUAUAAAAAGGAUUGAGGAUUUAUCCGAUUGAGAUUUUAUAACAAUGGCUUUAGUAGCGGACUGGUGAGUAACGCGUGAGCAACCUGCCUACUAGAGGGGAAUAACAGUGAGAAAUCACUGCUAAUACCGCAUAUGCCAUGAACAUCACAUGAUGAAAAUGGGAAAAGAGAAAUCUGCUAGUAGAUGGGCUCGCGUCUGAUUAGAUAGUUGGUGGGGUAACGGCCUACCAAAUCGACGAUCAGUAGCCGGACUGAGAGGUUGAACGGCCACAUUGGGACUGAGAUACGGCCCAG